Long non-coding RNA from Rhododendron vialii, 880 nucleotides. RefSeq lists it as uncharacterized. NCBI's taxonomy places the organism in Eukaryota, Viridiplantae, Streptophyta, Magnoliopsida, Ericales, Ericaceae. The transcript has 3 exons. The record is from RefSeq and is a predicted model, not a curated record.
GCUUGUGAGGAAAAUAGAUUUUGUCUCCAAUUGUACCUGUUGGCGAGGAAUUUUUUUUUUCAUCACCAAUUAAGAGGACAGACAAAUUUAAGGUGAGGAAAUUUUACUUUGUCACCAAAAAUAGUUAAUUAGUGAGGAAAAUAUAAAUUUCAUCACCUAAAGGAUGACAAAAUAAAUAUAAGGUGAUGAAAUAUUUUUUUUCGUCACCAAUUUGUUCCCUUCAUUAUCUGCACAGAUGCUUACAACCAACACAUGACAAAUUAGUUCCUCACAAAAGUAAAGGGUUUGGGUGAGAAAUUUUUUUUGUCGUCGUUGAGGGGGGAUUUUGGUGGGUGAAAAGGGUGUUGAAAAUUUUGGGCGUUGAUCCCAAAAUUUUGGGUGCUGAAAAGCCCCUUGUUCGUUCUAAUUUUUUACACCAAACCCCAUCGCCGUCUCUCACACCGCACCCCACUCCAUCUCUGCAACUCCAUCACUCCCACCACUCCCCCCGCCAUCUCUGCAACUCCGAAUCUCUCUCUCAAGCGGCAUCAUCAUUCAUCAAUUUCUGAUUCUGUUCAUAGUUACGCAAAAUGUCCAAAGGAGGAAACGUGUUGCUCCAACCUAGUUUUCUAUCAACUCAUUUCAUACCAGAUUAUGGGAGGAAAAGAAAUGAGAACAUAAAGAGGAACAAUAAGAUUUGUGAAUCUCAUGGGGUGAAAAGUAUUGCAACCCCUUAUGUGGGAUCGGUUCAGCAGCGCAAACGUGUUACUGCUGAAAAUGGAAAGCGUACUAGGGUUGAGUUGGAGGAUGAUGGAAAUAGACUUUCAUGUGAUGAGGAUGACCCUAGCCAUGACAGUGAGUCGGUUGACUCUUUUGAGCAGGUACAAUAUAUAAGUACACG